RNAcentral lists this transfer RNA (72 nucleotides) under Parcubacteria group bacterium. RNAcentral describes it as "tRNA-Val". It matches the Rfam family "tRNA". Rfam says of the family: Transfer RNA (tRNA) molecules are approximately 80 nucleotides in length. Their secondary structure includes four short double-helical elements and three loops (D, anti-codon, and T loops). RNAcentral also lists the same sequence under 1 other name. The record is from RNAcentral.
GGGCGCAUGGCUCAGUGGUAGAGCGCUAUCCUCACACGAUAGAGGUCUUUGGUUCAAAUCCAAAUGCGCCCA